Molecule: long non-coding RNA, 1206 nt
Organism: Topomyia yanbarensis
Lineage: Eukaryota; Metazoa; Arthropoda; Insecta; Diptera; Culicidae
Exons: 4
Source: RefSeq, a predicted model, not a curated record
GGGUGAGUAAGCAAAAAGUCCAAGUUCAACACCGUGUGAGGUUCGUUAUCCUUUGAGAUAGAAGUUUAGUUUAAAAUUCAAAUACUACCUAAAUAUCGAUAAAAUUAAAUCCACAGGAGUGACACUAUUAGCUAGGGUACUGCCCGCACGAGAUUUUGUGCUCUAACCUAACAUUUACUCAUCAUUGCGCUACUACGAGGAUAUAGUCCGUGGCCAAUAAACACCUGAAUUGCUGGCAAGACAUCCGGCUACGAACACCUUAAAAGGAACUAAACAUAAUAUAGUAAUACUCUAUGUCAAACACUUGACACAGAAAUAAGUUUCAACAAUGUGCUAAAAGGCUGCUAAAGUGCUGUGUCGCGAGAAAAUCGCCUGAGUCGAGCUGAACUUCAAAGCUGCUGCAUGCGAAAAAACCAGCCUACAGAAAACCUAGCCGCUGAUGCCAUAGUAAAACCAGACAAUCCGCUUUAGCUCCUACUCCGACAAGCCCGUUUUGAUUGGGUAUGAAGUAUUUUCUCACAUACACCUCUCUUAUACUAGUGUCAGUUUCAUCUUCAGUUCACUUUCUUCCGCUAAUUCUGUAAGCAUCCUUAAAAAACGAGCCAGACAAAUUCAGUAUGCUACUAUAAUUUACACAUCGACAUCAUUGGCGUUGAUUGCAGAGCAGUGGAAGAGGCAUUUUUGUCUUUCAAAGGGGAGGUCAAGAUAAUUGGUCUAUAGACUCUAACAAAGUACAUGGUAGUUAGUACAGAGCGAGGCAGAUACUCUCUAUUAGUCUGUACGGCCAUAUGGCAAGGGCGUUUAAGCAAGCAGACUAUCGAGCGCUCGUUGUGUUUGAGAGACGAAUUCUGCGUUCAAUACUCAGCAGCACAGUAGAAAAUGAAGAAUGGCACAGAUCCAUGAAUAACAAGCUGCACCGAGUAUAUCAACAUGGUGACAUUUGGGGGCUGAUACAACACGGUUGGCUACAGUGAACUGAACAUGUAGCGAGGAUGCCAAAAGAGAGACCAGCUAAAGUUGCGCUCAGAAGUGAAUCUAGAAGAAAUCGUCGACUUCGGGCAGACCCCACAGUAAAUGGUUGUGUGCAAUCGAAAAAGAUGCGCGUGCGUCAGAAGUUCAAGUAUACUAAAGAUUGGCGGCGCCAGAUCGAAUAUCUAUGUUUUAAAAAUAAUAUAUACAUAAGUACAUUAUGUGAAAUUACCAAAU